This 507-nucleotide ribosomal RNA is filed under the name uncultured bacterium. RNAcentral's name for it is "bacterial SSU rRNA". It matches the Rfam family "Bacterial small subunit ribosomal RNA", at positions 46 to 507 of the family's 1533-position model. The record is from RNAcentral.
GCCUAAUACAUGCAAGUCGAAGCAUUGUGGUUGAAAUGAUAUGAAGAACUUGUUCAGAUUUGAUUUUCAACAUUGCAAUGAGUGGCGAACGGGUGAGUAACACGUGGGAAACCUACCUCUUAGCAGGGGAUAACAUUUGGAAACAAAUGCUAAUACCGUAUAAUAAUUAAAACCGCAUGGUUUUAGUUUAAAAGAUGGUCUUGCUAUCACUAAGAGAUGGUCCCGCGGUGUAUUAGUUAGUUGGUGAGGUAAUGGCUCACCAAGACAGUGAUACAUAGCCGAGUUGAGAGACUGACCGGCCACAAUGGGACUGAGACACGGCCCAUACUCCUACGGGAGGCAGCAGUAGGGAAUCUUCCACAAUGGACGAAAGUCUGAUGGAGCAACGCCGCGUGUGUGAUGAAGGGUUUUCGGCUCGUAAAACACUGUUGUAAGAGAAGAAUGACAUUGAGAGUAACUGUUCAAUGUGUGACGGUAUUUUACCAGAAAGGAACGGCUAAAUACGUG